Molecule: ribosomal RNA, 435 nt
Filed under: uncultured bacterium
Lineage: Bacteria
Description: bacterial SSU rRNA
Rfam family: Bacterial small subunit ribosomal RNA
Source: RNAcentral
AACGAACGCUGGCGGCAUGCCUAACACAUGCAAGUCGAACGAGACCUUCGGGUCUAGUGGCGCACGGGUGCGUAACGCGUGGGAAUCUGCCCCUUGGUUCGGAAUAACUUCGGGAAACUGAAGCUAAUACCGGAUAAUGACGUAAGUCCAAAGAUUUAUCGCCAAGGGAUGAGCCCGCGUAGGAUUAGCUAGUUGGUGGGGUAAAGGCUCACCAAGGCGACGAUCCUUAGCUGGUCUGAGAGGAUGAUCAGCCACACUGGGACUGAGACACGGCCCAGACUCCUACGGGAGGCAGCAGUGGGGAAUAUUGGACAAUGGGCGAAAGCCUGAUCCAGCAAUGCCGCGUGAGUGAUGAAGGCCUUAGGGUUGUAAAGCUCUUUUACCGGGAAGAUAAUGACUGUACCGGGAGAAUAAGCCCCGGCUAACUCCGUGCAG